ACUCAAAUGAAUUGACGGGGGCCCGCACAAGCGGUGGAGCAUGUGGUUCAAUUCGACGCAACGCGAAGAACCUUACCUGGGCUCGAAGCGCAGUGGACCGGGGUAGAAAUAUCCCUUUUCGCAAGAACUGCUGCGGAGGUGCUGCAUGGCUGUCGUCAGCUCGUGUCGUGAGAUGUUGGGUUAAGUCCCGCAACGAGCGCAACCCUUAUCCCUAGUUGCCAUCAGGUCAAGCUGGGCACUCUAGUGAAACCGCCCCGGAUAACGGGGAGGAAGGUGGGGAUGACGUCAAGUCCUCAUGGCCUUUAUGUCCAGGGCUACACACGUGCUACAAUGGUCGGUACAAACCGUCGCAAACCUGCGAAGGGGAGCUAAUCGGAAAAAGCCGGCCUCAGUUCGGAUUGGAGUCUGCAACUCGACUCCAUGAAGCUGGAAUCGCUAGUAAUCGCGGAUCAGCACGCCGCGGUGAAUACGUUCCCGGGCCUUGUACACACCGCCCGU
RNAcentral lists this ribosomal RNA (498 nucleotides) under uncultured bacterium. RNAcentral's name for it is "partial 16S ribosomal RNA". It matches the Rfam family "Bacterial small subunit ribosomal RNA", at positions 899 to 1397 of the family's 1533-position model. The record is from RNAcentral.